CGCUAGCUACAGGCUUAACACAUGCAAGUCAGGGGCAGCAUGAUCAAAGCUUGCUUGAUUGAUGGCGACCGGCGCACGGUGAGUAACGCGUAUCCAACCUUCCCUAUAGUAGUGGAUAGCCCGGCGAAAGUCGGAUUAAUACACUAUGUUGUAUUUAGAGGACAUCUGAAGAAUACCAAAGGCUUGCCGCUAUAGGAUGGGGAUGCGUCUGAUUAGAUAGUAGGCGGGUAACGGCCCACCUAGUCGACGAUCAGUAGGGGUUCUGAGAGGAAGGUCCCCCACAUUGGAACUGAGACACGGUCCAAACUCCUACGGGAGGCAGCAGUGAGGAAUAUUGGUCAAUGGACGGGAGUCUGAACCAGCCAAGUAGCGUGCAGGAUGACGGCCCUAUGGGUUGUAAACUGCUUUUAUACGGGGAUAAAGUGAGCCACGUGUGGCUUUUUGUAGGUACCGUAUGAAUAAGGACCGGCUAAUUCCGUGCCAGCAGCAGC
Molecule: ribosomal RNA, 491 nt
Filed under: uncultured bacterium
Lineage: Bacteria
Description: bacterial SSU rRNA
Rfam family: Bacterial small subunit ribosomal RNA
Source: RNAcentral